Molecule: long non-coding RNA, 176 nt
Organism: Drosophila obscura
Lineage: Eukaryota; Metazoa; Arthropoda; Insecta; Diptera; Drosophilidae
Exons: 2
Source: RefSeq, a predicted model, not a curated record
CAGCCACCAGGCCAAACCAACGGCAACGCCAGCAGCAGCAGCAGCCGCAGCAAUAGCACGUGCCCCGCCAGCGUCAACAAACAACAUCCAACAUCUUUACGACUCACAGAUAAAUACCAUAACAAACGCAACAAAUGCCAAAGAAAACAGAGCGCUGAAAUAAGAAACACACAAAG